This 423-nucleotide long non-coding RNA is filed under the name Sinocyclocheilus anshuiensis. Its description in RNAcentral is "lncRNA (ENSSANG00000046438.1)". The record is from RNAcentral. Lineage: Eukaryota; Metazoa; Chordata; Actinopteri; Cypriniformes; Cyprinidae.
GACGUGUCGACGCAGGCGUUGUGUAUGCGGAAGUGAUGGACGCGGCUUGUGUUUCUGCAGGAGUCUGACGCGUCGGAUGAAGCUGCAUGACAGAAGGUCAGGAUGCUGGAGUCCUAUGUUUCUCCUCUCUUGAUGAGUUAUGUGAACCGCUACAUAAAGAACCUGAAGCCGUCGGACCUGCAGCUGUCACUAUGGGGCGGCGACGUGGUUCUGAGCAAACUGGACCUGAGACUGGACGUGCUGGAGCAGGAGCUCAAGCUGCCCUUCACCUUUCUGAGCGGACACAUCCACGAGCUGCGCAUCCACGUGCCCUGGACCAAACUGAGCUCGGAGCCCGUGGUCAUCACCAUCAACACCAUGGAGUGCAUCCUCAAGCUCCGAGACGGAGCCACGGUCAGUGUCUGAAUGAGAUCUAGAGUCUGG